UGGGGAAUAUUGGACAAUGGGCGCAAGCCUGAUCCAGCAAUGCCGCGUGAGUGAUGAAGGCCUUAGGGUUGUAAAGCUCUUUCGCACGCGACGAUGAUGACGGUAGCGUGAGAAGAAGCCCCGGCUAACUUCGUGCCAGCAGCCGCGGUAAUACGAAGGGGGCUAGCGUUGUUCGGAAUUACUGGGCGUAAAGGGCGCGUAGGCGGCCUGUUUAGUCAGAAGUGAAAGCCCCGGGCUCAACCUGGGAAUAGCUUUUGAUACUGGCAGGCUUGAGUUCCGGAGAGGAUGGUGGAAUUCCCAGUGUAGAGGUGAAAUUCGUAGAUAUUGGGAAGAACACCGGUGGCGAAGGCGGCCAUCUGGACGGACACUGACGCUGAGGCGCGAAAGCGUGGGGAGCAACAGGAUUAGAUACCCUGGUAGUCCACGCCGUAAACGAUGAAUGCUAGACGUCGGGGUGCAUGCACUUCGGUGUCGCCGCUAACGCAUUAAGCAUUCCGCCUGGGGAGUACGGCCGCAAGGUUAAAACUUAAAGGAAUUGACGGGGUC
RNAcentral lists this ribosomal RNA (546 nucleotides) under uncultured bacterium. Its description in RNAcentral is "partial 16S ribosomal RNA". It matches the Rfam family "Bacterial small subunit ribosomal RNA", at positions 355 to 920 of the family's 1533-position model. The record is from RNAcentral.